RNAcentral lists this ribosomal RNA (219 nucleotides) under Clostridioides difficile. RNAcentral's name for it is "partial 23S ribosomal RNA". It matches the Rfam family "Bacterial large subunit ribosomal RNA", at positions 1325 to 1540 of the family's 2925-position model. Lineage: Bacteria; Bacillati; Bacillota; Clostridia; Peptostreptococcales; Peptostreptococcaceae. The record is from RNAcentral.
GAAUCCGACAGGCCGUAAACACACGGUUUCCAGGGGAAGGUUCGUCCGCCCUGGGUUAGUCGGGACCUAAGCUGAGGCCGAAAGGCGUCGGGGAUGGACAACAGGUUGAUAUUCCUGUACUACCGAUAACCAUUUGAGAGAAGGGAUGACACAGUAGGAUAAGCUAAGCACACUGUUGGUUAUGUGUGCCCAAGCAUUGAGGCAGUCAAAGUAGGCAAA